RNAcentral lists this microRNA precursor (78 nucleotides) under Schistosoma mattheei. Its description in RNAcentral is "mir-3492 microRNA precursor family". It matches the Rfam family "mir-3492 microRNA precursor family". The record is from Rfam by way of RNAcentral. Lineage: Eukaryota; Metazoa; Platyhelminthes; Trematoda; Strigeidida; Schistosomatidae.
GACUUUUCGAAUCCGUGCUGAGAUUUCGUCAGACACCAACUCAUUAGGGUUGAUCAAACUUACAAGAUAAAUGAAGUU